AACCUGCCUUCACAUCCAGAGCUCACUGUGUGGCUCCAGGAUGCAAUGCUGGCCAAGUCACCUCUGUGAAGGUUUUCUCCUUCAUUCCUUCCCCUGUGAUUUUCCUAACUAUCUUCAUUCAGAAACACAGACGCUCUAGGCACUGACCUGGCAGAAAUGAGACUCGUUGGGUGGGGACAUCAAUGGCAAAGGCUCCUCACCGGCAGUCUCACUACUUCAUUGUUCUCACAUGUGUUGAGUAGCAUUUGGUUUAAAACAGAUUUUUGCAGUUCAUUCUCAGUUCAUGCUUUAUUGCUAAAAACAUAUGCAUACAGGUGCAGUUUCAAACUCUCACAGCAGCUCCUUCCAAGGAGUCAAAUUCCUUCAAAACUCCCAAAGACGCACAGAUUAUGAAGCUGCCUUUUUCAGGGCUCCAAACAUUCAGUGACGCUCUUUUAACGUCACCUCAUACACCAAUGGAGCAACGGAAGGUCACGCACGGAGGAGCAAGAGAACAGCAGCACCUGUACUUGAAGAGCAGACGUCCCACCACUCUCACCUAGAUUACUUGAAUAUUCUUAAUCCUUUUCAUUAUAGGGAUGGGUGGGUGUAAAGUUAAUGCCCAGGCUAGUAAUGCUUAAAAACUGAUACUAUGCUGGCAGAUCCUUGGGAUAGGGUGUCAGUGCUUAGGACUGGCCCCAAGGUCCAAGUGGUCUCCAAGACUAUAGCCCAAGCAAAAAGAAGCACAUUUAAAUUAAGGACACGGCACACAACUACCAAAGGUGUCAAAAUGUUUUGAAAAUCAUCAGUAAUCAUAACUAUAUUCUGCCUUUAAAGGUGUUUAUAAGUCUAAGCUCUACCAAAUAUACAUUUAAUUUUCCUGUGCGAUCCGUUUUAAUUGACUCUAGGGGACUAUUGGGCAAACAGUGCUAGAAGAAAGAGCUCUGACCUUGCAUCGUUAUUGGCUGGCAGGUACAUCAGUGAGUGGCAAAGAACAUUUCUGUCUGGAAUACACUGUACUUCUCAAUUCUGUAUUACGUGGAAAGUGAACAUCACACUGAUAACCUAAUUCAGUUCUGAACAAUGGAAGUUACUUUUCUAGGUGACAUCCACAGCAAUAAAAUAAUUAUUUUAACAACUGACUUUGUCUCGGUUGAAAUUGACAUCAUAAAGUUUCCCUGCACAGAAAACAGUAUGGAAUGGGUGGAAAGAGGGAAUCAUUUUCUUCCCUCUGAACCCUGGCAUUCACAUUCACCCCAGUUUCUUUCAUUGACGAGGAAGCCCACCCUCACACCUCAGGUGACACAGCCCACACAAGACAUGGGCUCCUUUCACUUCAAGUUGGCAAGCAGGGGUGUCGGCUGUGUUUUCUUUACUUUGAUAAAUUAUUUUCUAAUCCACAAUCACCAACAACUUAGGAUACUCCAUUUUUCUCUCUCCACCCAGGAAACUCUCCUGAACCAUAAAAGCAAAGCUACCAGGACUUCAUACCCCCGACAAAUAUGCCUGGGAGUUUGAGAACACGGCCCAAAGCCCUUGACAAAUCCUCCUAAUAAGGUAGUUGGGCGUACAAAAGAGGCCUUGCUCUAAGCUUUGAAACAGUUCUUAUCUGAUGAUCUUUUCAAUCUGUUUCUGUGGGAGAUUGAAAAGCAAUGCGUACCGAUAGCUAAUGGGAGGCUUAUCUGGAUGCCUAAGUAUUCACAUGUGUGCGGUAGAAACAUUCUACAGUUAAUGGAGGAAAGAGGAUCACGGGCUUGGCGGCCAUCCUUCAAGACCUGCGGAGGAGUUAGUUAUUCUGGGUGUUUUCUAGUCAAAGGUUUAAAAGCAAACUGCUCGUCAUUAUCAACCUGUGGGCUUGAGAUAAUACAGGGGCGUGAGAAGUGGCCUCCUCCAACCUCUCUCUAGUGAAAUCAGGGACAGGGCGCUCUCUCAGCUCUGUCUGUAAUGCAGUACGCCGUUCUCUGCACGUGAGAGCACACACUUACAGUUUAAGGCUAUGUUAGUCUUUGCUGUAGUUUUAUGUUUCAGACAAUUGCUUGCUCAUGUUCAUUGAGGAAGAGGAAGUAGAAUGUUAUGCAACUGGAUGGAAUCUCAGGAAUUAAUGCUGAUAUUUGGUAAGCUGUUUCCUCUUCUUCGUGUGUCUAAUUCAUGCUUUUCUGGACAAAUGUCAAAACUGCAGCCCUCAUCAGAAAUCUGUGUGCACAUGGUCAUUUGUGUGCACAUCUAUGUGCUUGUGCACCUAGACCUUGGCCAGAGGUCAUUGCCAAGUGUCUUUCUCUAUUACUCUCGGUCUUAUUUUUUGGCAUAAGACCUCUCACUGAGCUCAGCUCACUGAUUGGAUAGACUAGCUGGCCAGCAAGUUACAGGGUUCCUCCUGUCUCUGACUCCCUGACCACCACCAGAGUUGGGGUUACAGGCAUGUCUUGCCACACUCAGCAUUUUACCUGGAUGCUGGGGACUUGAGCUCAGAGCCUCCUGCUUGUACACUGGGCACCAUACUGGCUGAGCCGUCCCCUUAGCCUGCCUCAACAGAAAUUUUAAACUCAAAACAAAAACUUCUGAGUUCUUCGUUAACUUCCUGGUGUAAUUCUCUUAGAGAUUUAUUUUUGAAUGAGCACCAUUCUUAAUGUAGAUUCUUCACUAUUGCCUCAUCCCUGGAGAGGUGAAUGUAUAGGCAUAUUCAAGCAGGUUUCUCUGCUUGGCUCAGAAAGCCCUGUUUGCUUUUCCCCUUUGGACUGAAGUCCCUAGGGGAGAUUGAAGUUUGAAUGGGAAGCUUCUGUGGAAAUACAGACUAAAGUUAAGCCAAAAUUAGACAGUCUAUAAGGUCGCCUGGCUCCGGCCUGAGGCCAGUUGCACAGAGAUCCCAGGAGCAGCCUUCAGAGUGCUAGUCAUCAGCCAAGUGUGACACAUGGUUGCGUGUUCCUCAAGGUCUUCUUGGGCUGCCUCCCAGCAGCUUCUGAAGCCUGUUCCAAGGCUAACACUUGGUGUGUGUGUGUGUGUCUAAUCACUUUAGAUAAGCCAGUCCUGUUCUGACCUGGGCCUGUGGAGUUCUGGCCACACACUGCACACCCAGGGGGUGUGGAGGUGGGGAGCAGAGGCCAACCACUUCUGAGUUAGAGAUCUGCUCUCGUUGGCUGCUGUGUCCCACAGGAAAGCACAUUCUAACGCUCUUCCUGUGCCUACGAUUUGCGGCUGAGAAGCUAAUGAAUGACUGAAUCCUACCAUUCGCCUACAACACCCAAAUCCCAAAUCUGAUCUUGGAGAAUUACAUCUUGAAUGUGAUUUGUGCAGAUCCAUAUCCUGACCCUGUCUGCAGUGUGGCCUGGCGUGGCAGGGUUAGGAGUGGAAACUGUUGAAGGGCUAUGGAUGCCAACGAUGGUCAGGCGAGGUCCCCUCCCUGUGUGCUGCUUCUCAUGUUAAAUAUCUGCACGCUGCCCGGGUUUUUUGUUUUUUUAUAGGCAAACUGUGAGAUGACUUCCAUACUGUGAAGGAAAGCAGAGGCAGACUCCAAGCCCAGAAGAAGUCUCUACACUAAAAGAACUUUUAUCAUGAGCUUGUCUGGAAGCCAGAGACAGGCUGCCAGAGCAAGCUGCAGGCGGUGACUGGAGGCUUGGAGGAUGUUUCCCUUGAAGUCUGGUGGUCUAUCUUUCUACCUAAUUUCCUCAUUCCUCUCUCCUCCACCAAGAACCCUGCAAAAGGUGGGAGCAGGUCAGAGCUGGACUCCCACAGGGGGAAAGAAAGGAAAAAGCAUAAGGGCCAUGAAGAAAAAAGUCAGAUCGUGUGCUGCAAAAUCCCGUGGAGGAUCAUCAAAAGGACCUACUUCCUCCAGCUUGACCCCGCCUCCUAAGUUCCACAACCAGCUGUUCCAUGUGUGAGCCUUUGGGGACGGAGGUUCAUAUUCAACCCACAACACCAAGAAAUGAUUCAUAUUCUACCUUAUAUAUAAGCUGGCCGGCCUCAUUCCUCAUCUGAUACCACACUUUGUGUGCAUGUCCUGAACUAUCACACUCCAUCCAUUGAGUGUGCACGACUGUAGCAUGAAUCUUAAAAGAACUUAUUAAUUAAAACAAACCCGGAGCCAGGUAUUGGGGUGAAUGCUGGAAGAUCAGAGAAGCAGAACAAGCCACAGCUACCUCA
Long non-coding RNA from Peromyscus maniculatus bairdii (prairie deer mouse), 4116 nucleotides. RefSeq lists it as uncharacterized. The record is from RefSeq and is a predicted model, not a curated record. NCBI's taxonomy places the organism in Eukaryota, Metazoa, Chordata, Mammalia, Rodentia, Cricetidae.